RNAcentral lists this ribosomal RNA (440 nucleotides) under uncultured bacterium. RNAcentral describes it as "partial 16S ribosomal RNA". It matches the Rfam family "Bacterial small subunit ribosomal RNA", at positions 338 to 795 of the family's 1533-position model. The record is from RNAcentral.
CCUACGGGAGGCAGCAGUGAGGAAUAUUGGGCAAUGGGGGCAACCCUGACCCAGCCAUGCCGCGUGAGUGAAGAAGGUCUUCGGAUUGUAAAGCUCUUUCGAACGUGACGAUGAUGACGGUAUCGUCUCAAGAAUCAACGGACAACUUCGUGCCAGCAGCCGCGGUACUACGAAGGGUGCGGGCGUUGUUCGGAAUUACUGGGCGUAAAGGGAGUGUAGGCGGAUAUGUAAGAUAGCGGUGAAAUGCCGGGGCUCAACCCCGGAACUGCCAUUAUGACUUUGUAUCUAGAGUAAUGGAGAGGAAAGCGGAAUACGUAGUGUAGAGGUGAAAUUCUUAGAUAUUGGGUAGAACACCGGUGGCGAAGGCGGCUAUCUGGCCAUUUACUGACGCUGAGGCUCGAAAGCAUGGGGAUCAAACAGGAUUAGAUACCCGGGUAGUC